RNAcentral lists this long non-coding RNA (2366 nucleotides) under Nicotiana tabacum (common tobacco). Its description in RNAcentral is "long non-coding RNA (NTAB_LNC014593)". Lineage: Eukaryota; Viridiplantae; Streptophyta; Magnoliopsida; Solanales; Solanaceae. The record is from RNAcentral.
GACUCAGAGGCUGACUUAUUUUUCAUUCAUAGAAUUGAAUCUCACAAUACAUCUUCCUUUCCAAGUAAAAGCAUGCGGAUUGCAUGCGCAAAUUACAUCUGAUACGGAGAAUAUUGCAUAUGAAAUAUAAUCGAAAAAUAUGCCACAUGUGUAAUGCCACUCAAAGGCUGACUUCUUUUUCAUUCAUAGAAUUGAAUCUGACCAUGAGCUGCCUUUCCAAGCUCUGCAUUAUGGGUUCAUAGUAAAAAAAUAUAAAAUUCUAGCAAUACAUAUCAAAUGACAUCUAAACCAUAUUGUUGGAGCUCGUCUCCACUAAACUGUCUUCAAGAUCAUGCUCAUGAGCCCUCACCAUAUGAAACAUCUGAAACACGCUGAAGAAAGCACUGCACCGAGAUUCAUAUAAAUUUAGAAGUAUUACUUAGCUACAUUAAAAUUGAUGUACAAUAGUCUUGAAAUGGCAUAAUAAAAGGAUGGAGAAAUUACUAACCUUGCAUCAGUUGCAGCAUUCAGCUCCAUAUCCUUUGUAUUUUCUUUAUCUUACACAAUCUACGAACCAAAAUAGCAACUGUAAAGAAGAUCCAAAUAGGACGAACCCUGAAAACAUAAAACUUAAAAAAACCUUCCACCAUACUACCGCCUGCCUUCUUUUGCUCCCAUGCUUUUCUUGUUUUUACUUAAAUAACUUCAUCCCUCUUCUCACAUUCAGCAAUUCAUGCUCUUCCUGUUUCUACUUAAAUAACUUCAUCGCUCUUCUCACAUUUAGCAGUUCUAUUUUUCUGCUUUUUUUCUCUCUCUACAAAAUCAGGCCAAUACUCUUCCAAGACUUCCCCCUUUACACUUUCUAUUUCUUUAACUUCUCCAAAGCUCACAUGUAAUUUUGAGUUUUCCAUCUUAAACCUAAUGGGUGCCUUCUUUCCCCUUGUUAUUUAUCACAUCAAACGCCUUCUCGACUUUACUAUCAAUAAUUCAGAAUAUAAAAAUACAUGAAAAAUCAACCAAACAGAUAGAUAUAAGAAAUUCAUAAAAUAAGAAGGGGAGAUUUACCUCUAGCGAGUAGUGGUGCUAAAGUUUCAGCAGUGGUACAUUACUUACCAACCUUUAUCCUACUCAAACCUUUUCACUUGUGUUAGAUCUAGCUAGUUGAACUCAAAAAAUUAAACAAAAUAAAUGUUCUAUAUCAUGAACAAACUGAUCCAUCCAUAAAGAUUACUACUUUUCAAAGGACUAUUACUUGGGCAAGAUAAAAGCAAAACACGCCCAUAUCAAUUCAUCGUUGUAUACACUGAGUUAGAUACUCAAUAUGAUGUCUUACUGAAAUAACAGAUUUAUACCAAAUUGGCACACCAAUAAUCUUUGAAUAAAUUCAAGAAAUAAUUAACAUACACAAUUUUGAAUACGAAGCAGUCUUGAAGGUUCAAAAAAACUAACCAGAUACCAUCAGAUAUAUGCCAAGAAGGUUCUAUAUACCACCCUUAUCUAAAAAAAAGUUUCUACAUACCACAACAACCUAUGUUGCGCGGACUCUCCAAAAUGUAGCCACACUCGUGUCGGAUCUUUAAAAAAUGCACUACUUCUGGAGGAUCCAACACGUAUCCGGCCACAUUUUCAGAGAGUCUGAGCAACAUAGACAACAACAAAUAUUACAAUGAAAAUAAAAAUAAAUUCCAGUAAAUUAGAGUGAUAGCUCAGAUGUUUACCUCAAAAAUAGGCUAUCUUCAGUAUGUGAAUAAAAAGACAGCCUGGUGCACUAAGUUCCAGCUAUGCCGGGGUUCGGGAAAAGGCCGGACCACAAGUGUCUUCACUAUGUGAAUGAACUUCACAAAUAUGUUGGGAAACACUGCAGGUGUUAAAACCAAAAGAUCUGAAGCACCUCCUUCAGGUAUUUUAUUAGUGGGAUAGGCAUCACCUUUGUUUACACACAAAAAAAGACAUUGUUUACCAAAAAAGAAUGCUUACUUUGUCGAAGUCGCUGGUUUGAUAAGCCUUCUCCAUUUCCCUGCCUAAUUCCAUCAAACGUCAGAACCAAUCUCACUCAAUUAAAUAAGGUAAAUUAAAACCUUGUUAAUGUCUGGCCUUUCUGCAAUAUUUUAGGUAACCUCUUUCAGCUAGUAAUAUAGGGAACAUUUGUUAUCUAUGCAUCAUUUUGUUUCACCUACUUCCUGUACUUCUUCUCUUUUUCGCUUUUCUAAGGCCUUACCUACGGCUGCACCAUUCAAGGAAAUAAGAGGGGGGGGGGUGGCAAAAACUUAGAUAAAGAUCAGAAGGUGGAAAUUCGACCAUGCACACACACAUUAUGGGUCGAUGUGAUCAUCAAAAGAAUGGGUCGAUGAGAUAUAUUUGGAGUCGGAUAGAGAAGAUGAUUGACC